Molecule: ribosomal RNA, 642 nt
Filed under: uncultured Alphaproteobacteria bacterium
Lineage: Bacteria; Pseudomonadati; Pseudomonadota; Alphaproteobacteria
Description: bacterial SSU rRNA
Rfam family: Bacterial small subunit ribosomal RNA
Source: RNAcentral
AACGAACGCUGGCGGCAGGCUUAACACAUGCAAGUCGAACGCCCCGCAAGGGGAGUGGCAGACGGGUGAGUAACACGUGGGAACGUGCCCUAAGGUUUGGAAUAUUCCCGGGAAACUGGGAGCAAUACCAAAUGUGACCGCAAGGUGAAAGAUUUAUCGCCUUAGGAUCGGCCCGCGUUGGAUUAGCUAGUUGGUGGGGUAAAAGCCUACCAAGGCGACGAUCCAUAGCUGGUCUGAGAGGACGACCAGCCACACUGGGACUGAGACACGGCCCAGACUCCUACGGGAGGCAGCAGUGGGGAAUCUUGGACAAUGGGCGCAAGCCUGAUCCAGCCAUGCCGCGUGAGUGAUGAAGGCCCUAGGGUUGUAAAACUCUUUCGUGGGGGACGAUAAUGACGGUACCCCAAGAAGAAGCUCCGGCUAACUUCGUGCCAGCAGCCGCGGUAAUACGAAGGGGGCUAGCGUUGUUCGGAUUUACUGGGCGUAAAGCGCGUGUAGGCGGGCUGGAAAGUUGGGGGUGAAAUCCCGAGGCUCAACCUCGGAACUGCCUCCAAAACUUCCAGCCUGGACUCAAGUAGAGGCAAGUGGAAUUGCGAGUGUAGAGGUGAAAUUCGUAGAUAUUCGCAGGAACACCAGUGGCGA